RNAcentral lists this long non-coding RNA (1524 nucleotides) under Heterocephalus glaber (naked mole-rat). RNAcentral describes it as "lncRNA (ENSHGLG00100043665.1)". Lineage: Eukaryota; Metazoa; Chordata; Mammalia; Rodentia; Bathyergidae. The record is from RNAcentral.
GUAAACAUUUAAUUAACAUCUUUUUCUUUUUCACCUUAUUUUUAAUUGACAAAUAGUAGUUGUGUAUAGCUGCGGUUAAUUAACUUUUUUUACACCCAGACUCAUUUCCCACCCUGCAGGGAAGACAUGUAAUCAUUGGUAACAUCAGUCUUCUUCUUCAUGGAAAAAGUAGAGCUGAAAAAAAACUUCACGAUCCAGUGCUUUAACAUGAGCUUUGUUGCUUAGAAGUAAAUGAAAACAGGUUGAGAUUUGUGUAUGUGUUUCUUAGGUUUAAGAUUCUUAACUGCAUAGUGUACAGAAUCACUGCUUAUUCUUCCUGGGCAGAAUGGCAUGGUGUGGAUGUUUUCAAGAGAGUGUCCAUCUUUUUCAUGUCUUCUCUUUCAUAGUUGAAGAUUAAAACACCAAAUGCAAAAUUGACUGUCAGAACUUGUCCAGAGACAAACAAUAAAAGCAGAGGGGGAAAAAAAUGAGCCAGUAGGAUUUCAGAGGCGUUGACAACAUACAUGGACUGCUGACAGGUUUAUUCUUGUACAUUUCUGCUGACAGGCUUAUUCUUGAACUUGAGUUUUUCUGAUUUAAUUGCCGAAGUAGAUGAGAGUGUUCAUACUGCCUGUAGAAAUGAGACUAGGCCCUUCUGUGAAAAGUAGAACAGUAAACUUGCAAUGUAUUGUGCAGUGGCUUUUUCAUGGAGAUUUGGGCCACAGUUCUAAGUAAAACAAAUGUUCUUCUUUAAAAUCUGAGCUGGGCGGGACGAGGUCGGACGCGUGAGUGAGUGCGCGAGGGCUGCCCGGCGGGGCGUGGGGCGGGGCAAAGUUCGGAGGGGCCGGGGGCGCACGGUCCGGGCGGGGCGGCCGCGCCUGGGGGCCUCCGCCCUCCUGUGCGUCCCCACCCACCGGCCGCGUCCUUCCCGCCGUCCGUCUUCCCCGCCGGCUGGGUCUCCCCGGCUCCACGCGCUCCGGCCCCCGCGGGGGCCCUGCCGUCCUGGCCCUGGCCUCGGUCACGCGGGCCGCCCGGCCGGGCUCCUCCCGCAGAGGCGCCCAGGUGGACGGGGCGCCAGAGCCCGGGUCUGCACCCCGCGCCGCGCCGCUGUGCUGUCCGUCCUUCAAGGACAAGGACAAGGUUUUUCUCCGUGACGCUGCUGUCCCUUGCGCAUUCGCCUGGCCGCGGCGUCCCUGGCGCGCGCCCGAGGAAGCCUCGCGGGAGUGGGCUGAGCAAGGGCUCGGUGCUGCUAGCUCCUGGGCUGCUUCCGUGCUGGGAACAAGCCGGGGCACGCUCAGGCGGAGGGCGGGGUUCCGCGGAGCCCGGGUGCCACAGGUCUUAGGGCGCCGCUCGUGACGGGGUCGGACGGGGCGGGACGCACUGGGGUGAAGGAAGGGGCCCCAGCCCCCGAACCGGUGGGCAGGCGCUGUCCUCUCCCAGCCCGGGCCUUGGGGGCGGGAACUGAGGAGCUGCUGGCCGCAGACCUCACACCUGCGACCCGAUGGCCAGGGAGCGCAGGCCUGGGCUCGCUCAGGGGAGGAGGGG